RNAcentral lists this transfer RNA (71 nucleotides) under Loxodonta africana (African savanna elephant). It matches the Rfam family "tRNA". Rfam says of the family: Transfer RNA (tRNA) molecules are approximately 80 nucleotides in length. Lineage: Eukaryota; Metazoa; Chordata; Mammalia; Proboscidea; Elephantidae. The record is from Rfam by way of RNAcentral.
UCAUUGGUGCUUCAGUGGUAGAAUUCCUGCCUUCAGUGUAGGAGACCUGGGUUAAAUUCCCAGUCAAUAUA